AUUAAGUAUUAAGUAACAAUAUUAUAAACUUUAAAUUGUCAAUGCUAACGUAUACUGCUCGCAUAUGCAUAAUUUUUGUUUUGUACGCGAACGCUAUGUUCUGAUUGCAUUUUCUGGUGUCCUACUGAUAUACUUCUUUUUACGAACUGCAUUUUAACAUUUUUUUGCGCGCUUCGGCUUCAAGUGUGUGUAACUCUAAAUAUAAGUCUACAUUCAGCCAUGUAUUGUGUAAUCAGAAUUUGAUGUUAUAUUUAUGCCCCCCUGCGAAGAAAGGGGGUAUAUUGCUUUGCACAUUUCGGUCGGUCGGUCUGUCAAUCUGUCGGUCCGUCCACCUGGUGGUUUCCGGAUGAUAACUCAAGAACGCUUAGGUCCAGGAUCAUGAAACUUCAUAGGUAGAUAGAUCGUGACUCGCAGAUGACCCCUCUUGAUUUUGAGGUCAGUAGGUCAAAGGUCAAGGUCACGGUGACCCGAAAUAGUAAAAUGGUUUUCGGAUGAUAACUCAAGAACACAUACGCCCAGGAUCAUGAGACUUCAUGAGUAGAUUGAUCAUGACUCGCAGAUGACCCAUAUUGAUUUUCAGGUCACUAUGUCAAAGGUCAAGGUCACGGUGACCCGAAACAGUAAAAUUGUUUCCGGAUGAUAACUGAAGAACGCCUUUGCCUAGGAUCAUGACACUUCAUAGGUCCAUUGAUCAUGACUCGCAGAUGACCCCUAUUGAUUUUCAGGUCACUAGUUCUAUAUAAUUUUACAUACAUACAUACAUACAUACAUACAUACAUACAUACAUACAUACAUACAUACAUACAUACAUACAUACAUACAUACAUACAUACAUACAUAUAGGCAUUAUGCAUAUAAACUAACAAAUUCGUGAACAUGUCAUUACUAAAUAUAGGUCCGACAUAUAAAAUAAAAAAAAAUUAAAAAACCACCCAUCCGCCCCAAUUUUCCCCAAAAUUUGGAUGAGAAUCUAGUUAUUUAUUUUCUAUGGCCUUAUACUUAUCUACUUUGACAUCUUAAGUACUGUGUGAGUGGUAAGACGUGAUAUAUUACAUCAGAUAAUGUUGUACAUUAUUGAGUGUCUACUUUGUGAAAUAAUAUGUCUGUGUUCAGUCUGACACAUUUUUCAUAAUACAGCUUUUAAGAUGCAUAAGAUAUAUGUUGAUUGUACGAAGCAUUCACGAAGUCGUUUGCCAAUUUAUUGUAUUUAUAUUCAAAAAUAUGGGUUAUCACACUUUGGUUGUUGUGAAUGUUUUUAAAGGUUCACAGAUUGUCAAAAUGAUAUUUCUCCAACAUUAAAUAACAGAUUAAAAAAUAAAAGAACAAUUUACAUCAGGGAGCACAAGUUCACUUAUGACGUAGACUUGUACUGAAAAUACAGUGUUGUUUUUGAAAAAUCAUUUUGUGAAAUGGAUGAAAUCAUCAAGCAUUAUGAAAGCAAAGUGGUUGAAUAGUAUGGAAUGGGUCUGUUGUUUUUGUUAAGUUAAUGUAUUUUUGUGUGCUAUUAGACAACACGUUGAAUUGUAUGGGUAGUUUAUUUUAAUACUAUUUUAUUGCUUUUGUCUAUAAAUGUUUAUAAUAUUAUAUAUAAAGAAACCAAGGUGCAUAUGUGAGUUACAAUGAGAUCUUUACAUAGGUAAAGAAGCUUUGAGCUUGAAGAUGAGAAAAAAUGUUUGGGUCAGAAGUUUUAGUAAGAUAAGAUGCUGAUCUCUAUUAAUUGAAUGGGUAGCUAUAUACUGAAUAAUGAUAUAUUUCAAAUCCAAUAUUGGAACAAAUGUAUUAGGAGCAUUAGGUGUCUAUACAUCAGAAUGAUUUAUGCUUCAGAAUGUUUUAUGCUUUAAGUGAAUGAAUUAUAUACAAGUUUAUUUAUGCUUUUAAAUAUUUUAUAUUAACCAAUUUCAACCUGCAAGCGUCCCUGCCAUUUUGCAUGCGACUAUAGUGCUCAUAUGACCCUUAUGUUUCCCUAAACUGGCAUAAUUAAUUAGCCUCAAUGCAUUCUUUCCAUGCAAAUAAAUAAUAAAUAACCA
Long non-coding RNA from Dreissena polymorpha, 2027 nucleotides. RefSeq lists it as uncharacterized. The transcript has 2 exons. Lineage: Eukaryota; Metazoa; Mollusca; Bivalvia; Myida; Dreissenidae. The record is from RefSeq and is a predicted model, not a curated record.